This 543-nucleotide ribosomal RNA is filed under the name Agromyces indicus. RNAcentral's name for it is "bacterial SSU rRNA". It matches the Rfam family "Bacterial small subunit ribosomal RNA", at positions 369 to 918 of the family's 1533-position model. Lineage: Bacteria; Bacillati; Actinomycetota; Actinomycetes; Micrococcales; Microbacteriaceae. The record is from RNAcentral.
CAAUGGGCGCAAGCCUGAUGCAGCAACGCCGCGUGCGGGAUGACGGCCUUCGGGUUGUAAACCGCUUUUAGUAGGGAAGAAGGGCUUCGGCUUGACGGUACCUGCAGAAAAAGGACCGGCUAACUACGUGCCAGCAGCCGCGGUAAUACGUAGGGUCCGAGCGUUGUCCGGAAUUAUUGGGCGUAAAGAGCUCGUAGGCGGUUUGUCGCGUCUGCUGUGAAAACUAGAGGCUCAACCUCUAGCCUGCAGUGGGUACGGGCAGACUUGAGUGGUGUAGGGGAGACUGGAAUUCCUGGUGUAGCGGUGGAAUGCGCAGAUAUCAGGAGGAACACCGAUGGCGAAGGCAGGUCUCUGGGCACUUACUGACGCUGAGGAGCGAAAGCGUGGGGAGCGAACAGGAUUAGAUACCCUGGUAGUCCACGCCGUAAACGUUGGGCGCUAGAUGUGGGGACCUUUCCACGGUUUCCGUGUCGUAGCUAACGCAUUAAGCGCCCCGCCUGGGGAGUACGGCCGCAAGGCUAAAACUCAAAGGAAUUGACGGGG